AGGAGGGAAUUACUCCCAACCACUAGCCAGAGAGGAGGCAGACACUAUGAAUUGUACCAGCAGAGCAGGGAAUUACUCCCAACCACUAGCCAGAGAGGAGGCAGACACUAUGAAUUCUACCAGCAGAGCAGGGAAUUACUCCCAACCACUAGCCAGAGAGGAGGCAGACACUAUGAAUUGGCGCCAAAAACAAAUCCGCAGUAACCAAAGGAGGACAUCAACACCUGUGAAACGGACAUCAGUAACCC
Rhinichthys klamathensis goyatoka is the source of this 248-nucleotide long non-coding RNA. RefSeq lists it as uncharacterized. The record is from RefSeq and is a predicted model, not a curated record. NCBI's taxonomy places the organism in Eukaryota, Metazoa, Chordata, Actinopteri, Cypriniformes, Leuciscidae. The transcript has 4 exons.